Oreochromis niloticus (Nile tilapia) is the source of this 2329-nucleotide long non-coding RNA. RefSeq lists it as uncharacterized. Lineage: Eukaryota; Metazoa; Chordata; Actinopteri; Cichliformes; Cichlidae. The record is from RefSeq and is a predicted model, not a curated record. The transcript has 7 exons.
GUUAAAAAGAUCCGUAAAUUUAGGGGUCCCUUUACCGUGGAUUUGCUACGGAUUCGCUCCGUUUUGCGAAAUACGGAAAGUUUGCUGUUGCGCAAGGCAGAAUUUUCUCCCCCAGCCAGAAUAUUCCGACGCCAUUACUUUCAGUGCGGUCAGUGCCUACCUAAAUUUCUGCAAGUCACAAGGAAAGUUGGAAACAGAUUCACAAACUCCACCGCGGUUCACCCGGCCUGGCCCCUCAUCAACACCUGAACCACAGAGGUUUCAGCUGCCCUCAACACCACCUGAGACAACCGACUCCCCAUCCCAAGACACAUAUUCUGUACCAUGGCAUAAAUUUCCCUCAAAAGUCAUGGAUGAGUUGCGUGAAAAAAAGUACAUAAUGGGGAAAGACAGACGAGAGAUGGUUCGGAUCGUCGCUGAAGAUUACCUCCAUAAACACCCAGGAAGACCUGGUAGACAAAAGCUGAGGGAACUCGCCAGUAUGAUUGUAGGACAAUAUCCUGCCUCCUUCAAGCUGACAGAGCCGUUUGGAAACAAACCUUUUGCAAAAGAUGGUUCUGAAACUCUCUUUCGUCAGCUGGAACACAGAAUUGAAAAUAUGAAGAGGCCACAAAGCUCACUGAAGAGGCAAGCAGGGGGUGAAAAUUCAACAAAGAAAAGGCCCAGGAAUUCAGAUCUGUAUGGAUGUGUGGCGUGGGAUCCAAUCAUUGAGGGGGCCGUGUGUAGAGAAGACCUGCUGUCUAAACGAGAUGAGUUGAAACGUGCCUUUCAAACCCAGGAUCUUCAGGAGUCAUCUGUUCGAAAAUUGAUGACUGAAACAUAUCCCAUUCAGCGUGAAAUCCUCAACGAUGAUGAUACCACUAUUGCCGUUGUAAAGGACGAGUGGCCGUUCCUGUUUGAAGUUCCUCACCUGUUUGAUCAUGCAUCUAAACUCCUUGGCUUCUCUGUACAAAACAAGCUGGCACAGGAACUUUCCAAAAAGAAAAGGGGAUCAAUGACUUCCUUGACUCCAAAGGGAUGAAGACGGGCGAAGGUCCAAUACAGCUCAUCUGUGGCAUUUCAAAAUACUUCAAGGAAGACUCUUAUAAACUCUUCCACAAAAAAGAGAUCUCUGCAGAUCCUGAAGUCGAACUCCCAGUGACCCCAUGCAUCCUAAUCAGAGGUGACCAGCAAUUCAAGAUUGCUGUUGAUGGGUCAAUGACCACAUCACCUCUCCCAUUGUGGCCUUGAGCUACGUCUUCUCCAUGUUUUAUGUCUGCAACGUCCAAUACCCACCGGAGAUGGCUUUUACUCUCGAAUUCAUGCAAAGAGUUUUCUUUGGGGUCAAUCCUGAGCGAGGCUCCAAGGCAGAGAAGAAGGGGAAGAAACGGCACUUCAUUCCUCCACAGGUGUGCAAGCUGGUUUCUCAGCUGAAGGAAUUUGAAUGCAAGCAGAAGGAAUCUGAAUGGGCCAUUUGAGCUGUUCUCAGAGCUCAGAAAAUACCUUUUUGGACUGAAUGUACACACACACACACACACACACACACAUACACACACACAAAGGCAAAUCCAAAAACAUGGGGCUUGGGAGUAGAAAUACAGAUUUUUACAGUAUUAGGUGAGUUCAGAUGUUUUAACUAGAUGCCCACAACACACAUGCUGCAGUUUCAAAUCCCCCAUGUUAAGGGGGAGGGAAGGUGGGCGAUAUUUGUCAUUCCGGUUAAGCUUUUCCUGUCAUUGUGGAGUUGGAGGUGUAAGUUUUAAUUUUUUUUGUAGUUUUAAGUUGUUUUAAGAGUUUUAAAAAUCUCUUUAUGGCAUGUUGCACAGUCAUCCUUCUAAGGUCAUGGUUGUUAUUGCUGCACUGAUGUUUUAUAGAAAAGUUGUAUAAUGUAAUACUUCUAAUGUUCUAUUUGUUUUUUGUAGAAAGGUUAGCCACUGGUUGCAGAGCUCUGCCUGUCGGUGUGAUAUGUGGAGUUGGAGGUGUAGGUUUCUGCAUCCUCCUGGAGGGGGCUCCUCAUUUUGCACUGACAGGUGAGACAGCAACAGCAAUGCUGGCAGUUUUAUUGUCUUAUUUUGUCAUUGUCUUUAACAAAUCAAUUUGUUAUUAAUGCCUGUCAGCCUGUGGAUGCUAAAAAGUUGCUAGAUUUGGCAUCUCCCUGUUAAAGGACAUGGCUGUACUUCUUUGAGAGAACAGCUGGUUUAUGUAUGUAAAAUUUCUCUGAAUGUGAAGGUGAUGUUCUGAAUGUUUUAAUGGUUGUAAUGUAAAUAUUGCAAAUCAUUCACCACAAAAAGUGAAAUCACUUUAAAGCACUGGCAGCUGUUAAAGGAAAUAAAUAAUUGCUGUGAUUCUA